Molecule: small nucleolar RNA, 77 nt
Organism: Cotesia glomerata
Lineage: Eukaryota; Metazoa; Arthropoda; Insecta; Hymenoptera; Braconidae
Source: RefSeq, a predicted model, not a curated record
UUAACAUGAUGAUUAAAAUUUAUCACCAUCUUUCGACUGAGUGGCAUUGAUGAUAAUUUUAUUUUCUGAUUUAAAUA